RNAcentral lists this long non-coding RNA (3815 nucleotides) under Octopus vulgaris (common octopus). Lineage: Eukaryota; Metazoa; Mollusca; Cephalopoda; Octopoda; Octopodidae. The record is from RNAcentral.
UUCCGCUAUAACCAUCUUGUGUUGAGAAUCGAAUGUUUGUAUUUUGAUGACUAUAGAAGCAUGUUACACUGUUAAACACUUGUAUGCUAGAACACGUAAGUUUUAUAACAUAUAUUUUUAAAUAAAUAAAAGUCUGUCAGCAUCUGUAGGUAAAAAUAUUUUGUUGUUGCUCGUCAGACAAUAAUAUAUUCUCAAAGUCGCUGUACGAAAUAAGUCAAACAGAUUUAACCAACAAGAUAUGGAGUCGUUUUGUAGUCGCUGCCCCUCAUCACAUUUCCAUUCGGUGUUAUUUUUUCAUUAACUCUAUUGACAAUGUAGACUGGAGUAUAAAUAUUGCUGUAUGUAAAUUACAAGUAUUACCCCGCCUUUCAAAAUUAAAUUAAAUUUCAUUUCAUUUUGAAUAUGUGAAAACAAAUAUAUCCUUGUGGGUGUGUAAAAGGAAGAAAAACAGUUUGAUAUUUUCUCUCUUAAGUAUUUUAUGUAUAGCGAUAUUCCGAAUUCAUUACGUUCUCAGUUCACAUUCUGUUGCUGUCAACCUUUCCAUUCUUCCCUCCAGGGUCGAUAAAAUAAAAUAUCUGUCGAUUAUUGGGAUCGAUAGCUUCGAUUAAGCUUCACUCAAAAUUGCUAUACUUAUGCUAAAAUUUGAAAUCAUUUUAUGACGCAGCAUGGCCGAAUGAUUAAGCAAAUUCUUUUCACACUUGACUGCGGAUUGGAUCUCACUGCAUAUGAUCUUCCUUACUUCAAUGUUUUAACGUCUACUUUUCUGUGUUCAUAUUUGCCGGACGGCAUUCAUUGAAGAAUAGCUGGAUGUCCCUCCUGUUGCAGCAUUACUUGUAUAAUGAAGUCGUUUGUUAACAACUAUCAUGCGAUGUUAAGACAAAGAGACAUAUGUGUAUGUAUAUGACGGGCUUCCUUCAGUUUCCAUUUACGAAAACCAUUCACAAGGCUUUUGACAGUCUCAGGCUAUAAUAGAAAAUGCCCACGGUGCAGUGUAAUAGGAUCGAACCAGAAACCAAGUGGUUGAAAAGCAAACUUCUUGAUCACACACCCUCCUCUGUACAGGGUGUCUUUUACCUUUGUGAGCGAACUUUGUUAGACAGAAACUGUGCGGAAGCCUGUUGGAUGGACCAGUACAGCCUUGUCAUAUGCUGUCAUGUUGACGGUACUCUUUACUCUUUUACUUGUUUCAGUCAUUUGGCUGUGGCCAUGCUGGAGCACCGCCUUUAGUUGAGCAAAUCGACCCCAGGACUUAUUCUUUGUAAGCCUAGUACUUAUUCUAUCGGUCUCUUUUGCCGAACCGCUAAGUUACGGCGACGUAAACACACCAGCAUCGGUUGUCAAGCGAUGUUGGGGGGACUAACACAGACACACAAACAUAAACACAUACAUAUAUAUAUACAUAUAUACGACGGGCUUUUUGCAGUUUCCAUCUACUAAAUCCACUCAAGGCUUUGGUCGACCCAAGGCCAUAGUAGAAGACACUUGCCCAAGGUGCCCUGCAGUGGGACUGAACUCGGAACCAUGUGGUUGGUAGAGAAUCAAGUUUAAGCUUUUGGAAUACUCAACCACAUCUAUGCUAAUUCAAUGAGCAGGUAGUCCACUUGAGUGAACAACUGAAUCCUCAUUAUCAAAACUAAUUUGAACUGGCCUUAUCCAGUGCAAAUGUUCUACCUGUUUUACGUUCAAACUGGUUAGAACUGGCCCCUUACACCUACCCUUCAAUGUCAUUCCUCUCUAAAGAAAAUCAUAGCAGUUUACAGUGACACUGCUAUGCUUGUCACUGGGUGUGACUAUCAGCUAAUUAUACCUAUUUCUUUACUACCCACAAGGAGCUAAACACAGAGAGGACAAACAAGGACAGACAAAGGAAUUAAGUCGAUUACAUCGACUCCAGUGUGUAACUGGUACUUAUUUAAUCGACCCCGAAAGGAUGAAAGGCAAAGUCGACCUCAGCGGAAUUUGAACUCAGAACAUAACGGCAGACGAAAUACAGCUACGCAUUUCGCCCGGUGUGCUAACGUUUCUGCCAGCUCGCUGCCUUAUAUAUCAGCUAAUUAUACCUGAUAUUUAGUUUCCCUUCUAACGACUUCAUAAUACUCUCUCUUACUACCUUUUUUCCAAACUUUCUAAGUAUGUCUUUUACCUGUUACAGCAGCUCUGUCUAUCUAUCUGUGUGUGUAUACACUUACAUAUACACAUUUGGAUACAUAUUGCAGUAAUUUUUUGCUAUUACAGAACAUAUUUUAUUGGCUCCUCCACUUUCAUAUGUUGUUGUAUGUCUAAUCACUUAAUCAAAGUUGAUUAAUUAUACAGCUGCUGUAUAUUCAUAAAAUACACCUACAAUAAAAUUAUUGUAAAGGAGCUAUGACAAUUCUGAGGUAAUGAAGGAUAGAAAUCAAGUCACUUUUUAAGAAUUCAGUUGUCAUUCACUGAAGGAGAUUUAUAUAAUGUACCUCUGUGUGAAAAGUCUGGCUGCAUCCGAAAAAAUAUAUAUUAUGAAACAAAAAUAAACACAAAAUUUAUUACACGAAUCUGUUACCACCAUGACAGUCAACUAUUUGACGCUGAACACGAGUUUGAUGUUGAAUACAUCCACGAAUUUUCCGCUCAGAUAGCUCUUCCCAAGACUGCAAGACGGCUUCGUGCGAUUCAUGCCUCGUUGUAGGGUUUUUCAGUUCAACUUUAUCGGCCAAAACUUUGAAAAUGCCAUCUAAAGUUAAUAAUGAUUCUGCUAAUUCCACGUGUAAACAUGUGUUGAAUAGAACUCACUGAAUAAAUCUUAAUUAACUGUGUUGUCAAUUGUAUGCACCUGACAUAUGCUACUUUACAUAUGCUGACAGAGGAUACUUUUUUUAACGUUUUACUUCAUUCAUUCAAUCAUUUUUUCUUCAUUCGUCAAUAUAAUGUUCUUUUAGAUUAAUCUCUUAGAAAUUUGUAGCAUCCUUGAAAACAACCGACAUUUGGUCAUAAGUUUAUUCAGCCAAGACUAGCCUAGGUCUAAACAAGCAUGAGCCAAUGAUGGAGUUUCUACAUGGUCACUGGAAUUGUAAGGUAUAGCAACUAAAUCUACUUUAGAUUACAUCCUAACAUCUAGAUAUUCCAUAUUCUGUCAGAGCUGACGUGGAGUUAAACAACAGAAAAGAAUGUUAUUAUCCAAUAUUUUAGAGUUUAACAUUUAAUGAUAUUAACAUGAUCUGAAAGUAUAUCUUGUAUUCAACAAAUAUGCUGACAUUACACAAAAUUGGUUGGUCAAUGCCAGUCCCCCCCCCAUUCCCCACUCUGACUGGCGGUCGAUUCCAGCCCCCCACCCCCACCCCGAUGGGCUCCUGUGCCGGCAGCAUGUAAAAAGCACCAUCUAAACAUGGCCGAUGCUAGUGCCAUCUGACUGGCUCCAUGUCAGUGGCACGUAAGAAGCACCCACUACACUCUUGGAGUGGUUGGCAUUAGGAAGGGCAUCCAGUUGUAGAAACAUUGCCAGAUCAGAUUGGGGCCUGGUGUGGCCUCCUGGCUUGCCAGUCCCCAGUCAAACCGUCCGACCCAUGCCAGCAUAGAAAAUGGAACUAAAAAAAAGUAUGAUGUAAUUUUUGUAGUAAGUUAUAAAUCAGUUGUUUGGUAAAGGUAUCUUAUCAGUUUAGAAAUGUAAAAUUUCCACUUUUCUAAGUAUUUUCUGUAUUUUAUAAUGUUUCUCUAUUUCAGAUUGUCGAAUGACAUUUGGAUGAAAGAAUUUUUUGCUUCAACUGCAUCCUCAAUUCUCAUUUGCUAAAGACCAAAUGAAAAUGUUAUACAAAACAAAUAUAAACAUAUUUAUAUAAAUC